Paramuricea clavata is the source of this 647-nucleotide non-coding RNA. The record is from the annotation of a GenBank genome assembly. NCBI's taxonomy places the organism in Eukaryota, Metazoa, Cnidaria, Anthozoa, Malacalcyonacea, Plexauridae.
CAAGAACAGGGAAAAAAGUAGGAGUUAACGCUUCAAUUUGAGGCUUCAUUGCGUGAUCUUUUCUUAAUUAAUUUUACAGCUGAGCAACUCUAUGUCCGGAUAAGUGUUUUCAUUCUGUAAAAUGUCCAAAAGGAUACUACGUAUCCUUUUCUUAAAUGCUCUUUUUGGCAAUUCUCUUAUGCAAGAUGGUACCUCAUUCCACCAUUUUACUCCAACAUGAGAAAAAGACUUUCGUUGAAUUUCUAGUUUCGAUUGUUUAAUGUAAAAAUUAUUUGACUUUGAAGAAUGAGUAGUAUAAGAAUGAAUAUCUGACGUUUUCUGGAAAAGAUUGAGAAUAUUGACUGGUGCAACUCUAUUUUUAACAUCAUGCAUCAAUGUAAGUACAUUUUCAUAGAAUGAGAUAUUUACUGGUAAAAUAUUUGUAGCAACAAAAAAAGGUAUUGCGUGUUCUCGUUUAUCUGAAAAAUGGAUGAAGCGAAGAACACGUUUUUGCAAAACUAAGAUAUUACUCCAAUUUGAUUUGCUUGUCUGACCCCAGAUAACAAGACAAUAGGAGAGAUAUGGACCUCUUAGCGAUUUAUAAAUAUUAAGUAAAGUAUGUUUAGGUACAAAGUGCCUUAAUUUUGAAAUCAUGCCUACAGUUUUAC